Molecule: ribosomal RNA, 253 nt
Filed under: uncultured bacterium
Lineage: Bacteria
Description: partial 16S ribosomal RNA
Rfam family: Bacterial small subunit ribosomal RNA
Source: RNAcentral
UACGAAGGGUGCAAGCGUUACUCGGAAUUACUGGGCGUAAAGCGUGCGUAGGUGGUUUGUUAAGUCUGUUGUGAAAGCCCCGGGCUCAACCUGGGAAUGGCAAUGGAUACUGGCAAGCUAGAGUGCGGUAGAGGGUAGUGGAAUUCCCGGUGUAGCGGUGAAAUGCGUAGAUAUCUGGAGGAAUACCGGUGGCGAAGGCGGCAUCCUGGACCGACAUUGACGCUGAACAGCGAAAGCUAGGGGAGCAAACGGG